Molecule: non-coding RNA, 159 nt
Rfam family: 6S / SsrS RNA
About the family: E. coli 6S RNA was the first non coding RNA to be sequenced, but its function was unknown until recently. It consists of 184 nucleotides that fold into an extended hairpin structure with a large single-stranded internal bulge.
CGGGUUCUGCCCGGUGCGUGCGGCACUGUGAAUCCCUGGGGCGAUAAUCUUCCGAAUGGGAGCUGUCCCUGAUCGGACCCUGGUCCGGUUAUUACGGCACCCACCUGGUGCAACUGGCGCCAGAGGAUCGACAAGACCCACGGCCAUGGUGGGCCCGCC